ACCUGAAGAUACCUUCCCGCGUAGUGCUCACACAGAUUGUCUGAUGAAAAAUGUAACGGAGCAGAAAAACCUCUACAGGCUUGUAGCUCAGGUGAGUUAGAGCGCACCCCUGAUAAGGGUCAGGUCGGUGGUUCAAGUCCACUCAGGCCUACCAAAUUUGCACUCAUGCGGCGUUAUGCACUCGGUCGUUUACCGAAGUAAACUUCCCUCCUGCAUGCCUUGCCUGAGCACAAAGUUACAUUUCUUAUUUGGAAUGUAAUGGUAGUAAAAAGGUUUCUGUAAGACUGUAUGGGGCUAUAGCUCAGCUGGGGAGAGCGCCUGCCUUGCACGCAGGAGGUCAGCGGUUCGAUCCCGCUUAGCUCCACCAUACUGUUUUUCUAAAUAAAAUACUUCAGAGUGUGCUGGAUAACAGCAUGCUGCGAAGUAUUAUGCUCUUUAACAAUCCGGAACAAGCUGAAAAUUGAAACGACGCGCCGUAUUCAUUCUCCGUAAUAAGAAUGAAACUAACGAUGCGUUCGAGUCUCUCAAAUGCUCACAACAGCAUGCUGUCCUUCGGGACGCUUGUGGGUUGUGA
RNAcentral lists this unclassified non-coding RNA (574 nucleotides) under Erwinia rhapontici. RNAcentral's name for it is "16S-23S ribosomal RNA intergenic spacer". The stretch from base 291 to 364 matches the Rfam family "tRNA". The record is from RNAcentral. Lineage: Bacteria; Pseudomonadati; Pseudomonadota; Gammaproteobacteria; Enterobacterales; Erwiniaceae.